Long non-coding RNA from Anguilla anguilla (European eel), 958 nucleotides. RefSeq lists it as uncharacterized. The transcript has 4 exons. The record is from RefSeq and is a predicted model, not a curated record. NCBI's taxonomy places the organism in Eukaryota, Metazoa, Chordata, Actinopteri, Anguilliformes, Anguillidae.
UCUUCCUCUCUGAUUGUGAUUGCAUGGCCCUGGAAGAGAGGAGGGAGACCGGGCUGUCCCUGGUGUUCGUCUGGACAGGCCCUCAAUCAGAGCCGCACCUGAUGCACAGUCAGACACAGACGGGCAGCCCUCCACAGCACAGCAAGCUGAAGGACAGUGACAGAUGAGUCUGUGUCUGCCACUUCCCCGAAUUACAUCACACACAAAGCCCCGCCUCUCCACACCUAAAGUUUCCCUCCACGGACUCCCCAGUCUGCCCUCUGCUGGUCAGAAGGAGUCAUGACAUAAACAAGACCGCUCCACACGGCACUCAGAAAGCAAGGCCAUCUUUGCUCACACCAACAGCCCUGGGUUUGUAGGAAUUCCCCUACAGGAGUAUGCUGAAAGACGGAUCAUCCCGGUGGAAUAACUGACAGAUACUCUCCAGACCCCGAGGGCUUUUUCACCUCUCACCCACCAGCACUCUGCAAACAACGGCUCCAACAUGGGCUGUUAGUGUAGGAUAAUGGCGCAGGACAGUCUGCCUGGGAAAGCGACGCUACGGGACACCGCCAUCACCACAGUGUGAAAGGGACCCGGCAGCAACCUGGCCAACCGCACAACCGCCAUUCUGGAGCCUCCAUUCAGGCUCCCGCUGAGGUGGUUUAUUACCGUCCUGGAGCCUCUGGCCGCACGGUUUCGACAGACUCGGUGAACCGCCUGCGUUUGGAUCGCGGUCGUGGUUCGCCAGAGGACACUAUCAUUCUCAGAAAGUCAAGCAAAAGUUUAUUUAUGGUCUCCUUGGUGCCGCAUCCAGCUAAGGCGUUGGCUUCCCAUGCAGUAACACGUCCUGCAUUCUGGAAGUGUACUCUGGCCAUGCCAGAGCCAUUAGUACAGGCUAGGAGUCCUGUGACAACUGUGUAACUGUGCACAAUGUUCCUUUCUCAAAGUCCCCUGCAUAUUGCAAACUGUAUUAUGA